Molecule: ribosomal RNA, 433 nt
Filed under: uncultured bacterium
Lineage: Bacteria
Description: partial 16S ribosomal RNA
Rfam family: Bacterial small subunit ribosomal RNA
Source: RNAcentral
AACGAACGCUGGCGGCAUGCCUAACACAUGCAAGUCGAACGAGACCUUCGGGUCUAGUGGCGCACGGGUGCGUAACGCGUGGGAACCUGCCCUUAGGUUCGGAAUAACUCCCCGAAAGGGGUGCUAAUACCGGAUAAUGUCUUCGGACCAAAGAUUUAUCUCCUUUGGAUGGGCCCGCGUUGGAUUAGCUAGUUGGUAGGGUAAAAGCCUACCAAGGCGACGAUCCAUAGCUGGUCUGAGAGGAUGAUCAGCCACACUGGGACUGAGACACGGCCCAGACUCCUACGGGAGGCAGCAGUGGGGAAUAUUGGACAAUGGGCGAAAGCCUGAUCCAGCAAUGCCGCGUGAGUGAUGAAGGCCUUAGGGUUGUAAAGCUCUUUUACCCGGGAUGAUAAUGACAGUACCGGGAGAAUAAGCGCCGGCUAACUCCGUG